Molecule: ribosomal RNA, 253 nt
Filed under: uncultured bacterium
Lineage: Bacteria
Description: partial 16S ribosomal RNA
Rfam family: Bacterial small subunit ribosomal RNA
Source: RNAcentral
GACAGAGGCCUCGAGCGUUAGGCGGAAUCACUGGGCUUAAAGCGUGUGUAGGCGGAUCGUUAAGUGCCUUGUGAAAUCCCACGGCUUAACUGUGGAACGGCUGGGCAUACUGGCGGUCUUGAGCCAUCUAGGGGCGACUGGAACAAACGGUGGAGCGGUGAAAUGCGUAGAUAUCGUUUGGAACGCCAAAGGUGAAAACAGGCCGCUGGGGAUGUGCUGACGCUGAGACACGAAAGCCAGGGGAGCAAACGGG